This 292-nucleotide ribosomal RNA is filed under the name uncultured Planctomycetota bacterium. RNAcentral's name for it is "uncultured planctomycete partial 16S ribosomal RNA". Lineage: Bacteria; Pseudomonadati; Planctomycetota. The record is from RNAcentral.
GGACUACUGGGGUUUCUAAUCCCGUUCGCUCCCCUGGCUUUCGCGCCUCAGCGUCAGAAGAGGGCCAGCACGCCGCUUUCGCCACCGGCGUUCCUUCCGAUAUCAACGCAUUUCACCGCUCCACCGGAAGUUCCGCGUGCCCCUACCUCCCUCAAGACCACCAGUAUCCCAGGCAAUUCUCCGGUUAAGCCGGAGGCUUUCACCCCGGACUUGGCGGCCCGCCUACGCGCCCUUUAAGCCCAGUGAUUCCGAACAACGUUCGCACGGUUCGUCUUACCGCGGCUGCUGGCAC